GCCACUAAUAGCCUAGUGGACAUGGCACCUGCCCGGUAAGCAGAAGAUUGUGGGUUCGAUUCCCGCCCCUGGACA
Molecule: transfer RNA, 75 nt
Filed under: Cordylochernes scorpioides
Lineage: Eukaryota; Metazoa; Arthropoda; Arachnida; Pseudoscorpiones; Chernetidae
Description: tRNA-Thr
Rfam family: tRNA (bases 9-66)
About the family: Transfer RNA (tRNA) molecules are approximately 80 nucleotides in length. Their secondary structure includes four short double-helical elements and three loops (D, anti-codon, and T loops).
Source: RNAcentral